This 4773-nucleotide long non-coding RNA is filed under the name Sus scrofa (pig). Its description in RNAcentral is "lncRNA (ENSSSCG00000055690.1)". The record is from RNAcentral. Lineage: Eukaryota; Metazoa; Chordata; Mammalia; Artiodactyla; Suidae.
UGGAGGUGCAGGUUUGAUGCCCAGGCCAGCGCAGUGUGUUAAAGGAUCCCAUUACUGGAGCUACUGCUCAGAUUUAAUCCCUGGCCUGUAAAUGCCCAUGUGCAGUAGGUGCAGCCAUAAAAAUUAAAAAAAAAUGAAGACAAGUAUAAUAGAAAUCAAAUUAAUAGGAAUCUUAAAAAUAUCUUUUACGUUUACCAAUUUACCUUUAUCGUUUAUUUUUUGUUUAUUCCUAUGGGAAUCUAUGAUAAAACUUAUAAGAAUGUUUGUGUUCUUUCAGUGUCAAGAAAGCUACUAUUUUUAAAAGUCCCAAUAAAUUUUUCCUAAAAAGUAAAAAAAAAUAUAUCAGAUAGUAUUGUUUUUUUAAAGACUACUGUUUUAAGGACAGCCCUAUUCUCUUUAGCAAAUGAUAUGUUUGAAGAUGAGGGAGUUUGAAGAUGGAACAUAAACUUUAGGAAUAAGAACAGAAGGCCCACUCGGCUUGGGUCUUGGUUAUUGCUGUUGUUGGUUGGUGAGUUGCCUCUACAAGUCCUGUGGCAGCAGCAGGAUGCAGGAGCGCUGGGCAGGCACAAGGAAAGUGUCUGGGCAGCAGGGAGGUAGGGGUAUGGGGACCCUGUGCCCUUUCAUCAGCGCUUUGUUCACUAUUGGACCAUCGGGUACUGAACACUGCCACGUGUCAAGUGUGUGGUGGGCCAGGCACUGGAAAAGGGGACCAUUCUCAUGGAUAUUACAGUAAAGGAUACAGAUAUCAAGGAAUACACUAAUGUAUUAACUAUUAAACUGUAAAAGGGCUACGGAGAAACGGCUUGUAAGAGGAUAGAUGGCAAGACAUUGAUCACACCUGGCUAAAGGCAAAGCUUAGCCAGGUGCGAUGCUGUAUUUAAGGAUAAAAUAAAAAUACUUUGUUCCCAACUUAAAAAACAAAAGAAAUAAAAAUCCUGCUUACCAUGUGGACCUCAUUUGUGAAUUAUUCAUUUACCAUUUAUUUAUAAAAAUAUGAUAUUUCCUACAUGUGCAGUGCCUACACAGCCCUGUUGACAAUACAAUGUGAAUUGACAGAGGAGCAAGUAAAAGAAGAUAUGGUAUAUUUAUGCAAUGGAAUAUUACUCAGCCAUAAAAAUGCAUGAACUAAUGCCAUCUGCAGCAACAUGGAUGCAACUAGAGAUUAUCAUACUAAGUGAUGUAAGUCAAAGACAAAUAUAAUGACAUCACUUUUAUGUGGAAUCUAAAAAAUUCUAAUAAGUUCUUUUGUGUGUGUAUACAUGUAUUUCCAAACCAGAAAGAGAUUCAAGACACAGAAAACAAACUUAGGGUUACCAAAGGGAAAAGGGCGUGGAGGGAGGAAUAAACUAGUAAUUUGGGAUUAAGGUACACACUACUAUAUAUGAAAUAGAUAAUCAACAAGGACCUACUGUAUAGCAUAGGGAACUCAAUACUAUGUAAUAACCUGUAAGUGAAAAGAUUCUGUGUAUGUAUAUCUUUAAAAUCAACUACAGCUAAAAAAAAAAAAAAGCUAGCAUGUGCAAGGGAGCAGGUGAAGAUUAUCCUGAGGAGGCCACUGCUCAGCAAGUGCGUGCAAUCUCAUCAUUCUUUUAUGUUUUAACCAAACUGAUUUCUUUUUGCUGUAUGCCUACAUGCAUUUCAUUCUUCUGAUCACUUCUAUCUUAGGUGAUUUCCCAGUAUUGUAUAAUAUGCCUGCAUUUUGAGGAAACAUCUUCAAACCAUUCACAAAGAGAUGCACAAGCCAAUGGAUAUUAAGGGGAAGAGAACCAGAAGCAGCACAGCCCUUCCAGCACAAAGUUUUCCAAAUUGGGAGAACAUUCAAAAGAUGGAAGAAAGCACAGAGAUGGGAAGUAGAAAGGAUGUAUUGGAGGAGAAGGCCCUGCUGGUAAAUUGGGUUCCAGGUUCUUGGAAGGAUAUAGGGCAGACAUUUUACAGAAAGAGGUUGAUUUUUAAAGUAGAUAGGGCCUAGGAUGCUGGAAUUCUAGGAGUUUCAAUGUGAGUCUUGGGAAGCAAAAAUCUAGCUGCCCAGCAGAAGAACCAAGACAGAAUUUCUAGGAGAGGUUUGGAUGCAAAGAUUUGGAAAUUAUUUACAUUCGGGUGUCACCUGAAAUCUGUUGACUGUUGGCGAUUAAGUAGGGCGAACACAGUGAUUGAGAAGGGUAGGGAGCCAGCACUGCUUUCCCAGAGGCCUGACAGCGGCUUCAAUACAUGGAGAGCUGGAAAGCUUUGUGGAGAAAGAUGCUGAAACUGAUUCUUGAAUUCCUAAGAGAAGGUGCAUAACUUCUAAAUACUCUCCGCAUUUGGAGAAACAAAACCAGAAUCCAAGAGGAUGUCAAAGAGAGGUUGCAUCAAUGAAAUCAGUGAGCUUUAGUCCCCACAAAUACCAUGACAAUGUUCAUUUCCUUUUAAGUACUUAAACAGUUAGUGUGUCCACUGAAACAUUAGUAGAUCUCAUCAGAGAAUAUGCUUCAAUAAUGCAUAAAUAUGUAAUGCAUCGGAUAGAUGGCACUCUUUUGAAUCUUAAAAGACAUAUUUGGAUUGCCACUGGUAGCAUUAUAAAAACUCCCUCCCCUCAAAAGUGAAGGGCAUCAAAUUUAACAGAAUAAAAGAGUUGACAGGCAUGUCAUUGAACUGCAAGGUUCUGAAAUUACUACAUUGUAGUAAAAAGCCCCAAUAUCGCAGUGCUUUAAUUACUUCUUUAACAUAACCACGUGAACCAGGAUAAGAUAUUUAUGGUAGUUUGGCUCCAAAUUACAAUCCACCUUUUUCCUCAAACUCCUUAGAAGUGCCUAUCAAAUGAUUUGUUACGCUCUUAAAUUUUUCAAUGAUACAUUUAAAAUCACUCAAAAUACAUUCAAUGUUAUCCUUAUAACAAAGUCGUCCUCACUUACUUGCACAGAAGGGAUCCACAAACACCAGGGAGAGCAUCUGUGGCUCAAAAAAAAGAACCCAUUGCCAAGGGAGGAAGGGCCGGAAACGGGAGUAGAGGAUAAGGAGGAGGCAGGCUCCACCCUGCCACGGGCUCAUCAGCCCAAGUCAGUACAGCUGGAUGACCACGUGGGUGGCGCUCUGGACCAGGGGCCCAACCCUACACCUACCCUGCUUUUUAUUGGCCAUGAAUGGCGAUGGGCUGUUUGUUAAGGGGAAAGCAGUGGAAAAGCAAUUAAAGCCUGUGCGCCAAGAGUUCAGGGAAACAGCACAGAAGCUCUGAUCAUCCUGCCCAGACCUUCCACCCUGAAGGAGGUCAGGCCUCCUGCCCAGCCCGGAGGCAAACAUCUUUGUCUUCUCUUGCUACAUUCAGACAUCUUUUUUUGCAAGUGGGGGAAAGGAAGAGUGACUGUCAGUAAGCUAGAAUCAUUGUUUUCAUCACUGUAGUAUGUAUUUUAGAAACGUUAUAGGCUGAUUCUUACAAUCAAUGGCUUGUCAUAGUUUAAACAUAAACAUUUUUUUUUUCUGACUCAUAUGGUACAUAUGGUGUGUUUUACAACUGGUUUUAGAUGUGGUGAAUUGAAAUAAUUAUGAAAAAUCCUGGUCAUGCCAGUGGAAGUGUAUCUGGCAUUUGUGCUAAUACUACCCAGCAUGUGUGGAACUGGGGAAACGUCUCCCAUUUAACCACUGCCUUGAAAUAAUCAUCACACACACAGAGAAUAACUGAUUUCUGGGUUUGCCUUUAGGGAUGAAGCCAUUUUUGGUUUCUUUUUUUUUACUUUUUUAUUUUUUAAAGUUUUAUUGAACUAUAGUUGAUUUACAACUAAAGUUUUAAUGAUUUCUGCUGUACAACAAAGUGAUCCAGUUAUACAUAUACACAUAUCCAUUCUCUUUCAGACUCUUUUCUAACAUAGAUUAUCACAGAAUAUUGGGUAGAGUUCUCUGCAGAAGCCAUUUUUGGAAAACUACUUUAUGGGAAAACUGUCUUAUCAGGUCAGCUUCAUUAGGACCAUGGAAAAAUGGGAAAGGAGGGUAUUUUAAUUUUCAGAGGUAGUCCUUCCUCUUGGGGAUGUUGGCAUCCUCCGUUAUAAAGAGGGUGUAAGAGUCUUGUGGUUAGACAACAUUUUCUCAAGAGCUUUGCAGGAGACUGUGCUGCAUAGUGAUAGUCAGACUACCUACAUUGACAGCACCAUUCAUUAAAAGCCCCUCAUUUCAAAAUAUUUUUAAAUCAAAGUUAUAAAAUUAGUCUCAUGCCAACACAACUGUUAAUAUUACAGAUGUUUCCUUCUAGUUUUAUUUUCAUAAUCAUAUUUUACAUUGUUGUUGCAUGUAUAUACAAUUUUGUAUCUACUGUCUAUUUACUUAAAACUAGAUUACAAGGAUUUACUGAGUGGUAACUAGGCUUUGUCAGUUGCCACCUUAAAUGGCUCUAUAAUAGUUUCUUAAAUGAAUGUACUGUAUCUUAUAUUUUAUUUUCCCUAUUGUUUUCAAAAACCUAUGAGGUCUAUGUAUUUUGACAUAUUUAGGUAGCAUUUAAGAAACAAGUUUUAGGAUGUCAAUGGGUACUCACUUUAUUAUGACUUUUGUAUAACAAAUAUACUAAUUACCUGAAUACUAUUUAUAGUAGUACAUAUAUACAUGGUGCUUAGGUUAGUAAUGUUGAUUAGCUUUACUUCAAUUAACACUCUUUCACAGAAUGGGAGAAAAUAUUUGCAAAUGAAGCAAUAGCCAAAGUAUUAACCUCCAAAAUUUAACAACUCAUGCAGCUCAGUAUCAAAAACAAACAACCCAUCAAAAAAUGGGCAGAAGGUCUAAACAGACAUUUCUCCAAAGACAUACAGAUGG